Non-coding RNA from Peniophora sp. CONT, 89 nucleotides. The record is from Rfam. Lineage: Eukaryota; Fungi; Basidiomycota; Agaricomycetes; Russulales; Peniophoraceae.
GGGCAUGUAGCACAGUGGUAGCGCGCUUGCUUCGCACUUACGUAAGUUCGAUUUGCAUGAGGUCUUGGGUUCAAUCCCCAACUUGUCCA